RNAcentral lists this ribosomal RNA (1256 nucleotides) under Enterococcus faecium. RNAcentral describes it as "bacterial SSU rRNA". It matches the Rfam family "Bacterial small subunit ribosomal RNA", at positions 106 to 1349 of the family's 1533-position model. The record is from RNAcentral. Lineage: Bacteria; Bacillati; Bacillota; Bacilli; Lactobacillales; Enterococcaceae.
GUGAGUAACACGUGGGUAACCUGCCCAUCAGAAGGGGAUAACACUUGGAAACAGGUGCUAAUACCGUAUAACAAUCGAAACCGCAUGGUUUUGAUUUGAAAGGCGCUUUCGGGUGUCGCUGAUGGAUGGACCCGCGGUGCAUUAGCUAGUUGGUGAGGUAACGGCUCACCAAGGCCACGAUGCAUAGCCGACCUGAGAGGGUGAUCGGCCACAUUGGGACUGAGACACGGCCCAAACUCCUACGGGAGGCAGCAGUAGGGAAUCUUCGGCAAUGGACGAAAGUCUGACCGAGCAACGCCGCGUGAGUGAAGAAGGUUUUCGGAUCGUAAAACUCUGUUGUUAGAGAAGAACAAGGAUGAGAGUAACUGUUCAUCCCUUGACGGUAUCUAACCAGAAAGCCACGGCUAACUACGUGCCAGCAGCCGCGGUAAUACGUAGGUGGCAAGCGUUGUCCGGAUUUAUUGGGCGUAAAGCGAGCGCAGGCGGUUUCUUAAGUCUGAUGUGAAAGCCCCCGGCUCAACCGGGGAGGGUCAUUGGAAACUGGGAGACUUGAGUGCAGAAGAGGAGAGUGGAAUUCCAUGUGUAGCGGUGAAAUGCGUAGAUAUAUGGAGGAACACCAGUGGCGAAGGCGGCUCUCUGGUCUGUAACUGACGCUGAGGCUCGAAAGCGUGGGGAGCAAACAGGAUUAGAUACCCUGGUAGUCCACGCCGUAAACGAUGAGUGCUAAGUGUUGGAGGGUUUCCGCCCUUCAGUGCUGCAGCUAACGCAUUAAGCACUCCGCCUGGGGAGUACGACCGCAAGGUUGAAACUCAAAGGAAUUGACGGGGGCCCGCACAAGCGGUGGAGCAUGUGGUUUAAUUCGAAGCAACGCGAAGAACCUUACCAGGUCUUGACAUCCUUUGACCACUCUAGAGAUAGAGCUUCCCCUUCGGGGGCAAAGUGACAGGUGGUGCAUGGUUGUCGUCAGCUCGUGUCGUGAGAUGUUGGGUUAAGUCCCGCAACGAGCGCAACCCUUAUUGUUAGUUGCCAUCAUUCAGUUGGGCACUCUAGCAAGACUGCCGGUGACAAACCGGAGGAAGGUGGGGAUGACGUCAAAUCAUCAUGCCCCUUAUGACCUGGGCUACACACGUGCUACAAUGGGAAGUACAACGAGUUGCGAAGUCGCGAGGCUAAGCUAAUCUCUUAAAGCUUCUCUCAGUUCGGAUUGCAGGCUGCAACUCGCCUGCAUGAAGCCGGAAUCGCUAGUAAUCGCGGAU